GUAGCAAGAGGUCAGGAACCUCAGGGGAGUUUGGGAGCUUGCUGACUCACUCAUGACAUAUUUACUAGCUUUGUGGGAGAUGCUGUUGGCUUUCAUUUAGGAGAGUCAAUGGUCCUUUCAAUGAGGAGGCCCAACAAGAGGGAGUGUUGUAUAUCCAGUUGCUGAGACUUUCCAGUGGCCCUUAGGGAUCAGAGCAUCAAGCAGACCAGCGGUAGGUGACCAGAGAAGGGUGGCAGAGACUGAAAAAUGGAAAUCUCCCUGGAUGCCUUGGAUGAAGUCCCGUUCUACAGACGGAGCAAGAUCCCGCUAAGUUCGCGCAGGCGCUGAGGGGCAAGGGAGGACUCUCCAGCCUCAGGUCUCCCCUUGUCGAGCUGCUUCCAGCCACGCUGCCGCGUGAGAGCCACGGCCCCCUGCGGCUGCUGGCUGUUGCGCAGGGCAGCAAGCCCUUUCCACACAGCAUCCCACGCGAAGUCCUCCUUGUGGAGCAAGAGUUGUAACUGAUGUCUCAAACUGCCUUGGUGAAGGCGAGAGAGCCUGUGGUGGACUGAGGGAAUGUAUGCUGUACCCUGAGAAGGAAGCCCACUGAACAGAGAGAGGACUCUUUCUAGAAGCUGAGGUGACAUCUUUCCUCCCAAACCAUACAAGCAAGCAUUGCAAUGGAAGGUAGGAUGGCG
This 674-nucleotide long non-coding RNA is filed under the name Meriones unguiculatus (Mongolian gerbil). Its description in RNAcentral is "lncRNA (ENSMUGG00000021286.1)". The record is from RNAcentral. Lineage: Eukaryota; Metazoa; Chordata; Mammalia; Rodentia; Muridae.